GACGAACGCUGGCGGCGUGCCUAACACAUGCAAGUCGAGCGGGGUUGAAGCGAGGGGUAACUCGAGUUUCUACCUAGCGGCGGACGGGUGAGUAACGCGUGGGCAACCUGCCUCAAGGACUGGGAUAACAGCUCGAAAGGGCUGCUAAUACCGGAUAAGCCUAUGGCCUCGCAUGGGGCCAUGAGCAAAGGGGAAACCCGCCUUGAGAUGGGCCCGCGUCCCAUCAGCUAGUUGGUGAGGUGAAGGCUCACCAAGGCGACGACGGGUAGCCGGCCUGAGAGGGUGACCGGCCACACUGGGACUGAGACACGGCCCAGACUCCUACGGGGGGCAGCAGUGGGGAAUCUUGCACAAUGGGCGAAAGCCUGAUGCAGCGACGCCGCGUGAGCGAAGAAGGCCUCGGUUGUAAGACUCUGUCUGGGGGACGGAAGGAAGUGACGGUACCGUCCGGAGGAAGGCCGACGGCGUAACUACGUGCCGAGCAGCCGCGGUAAUAUCACGUGUAC
RNAcentral lists this ribosomal RNA (506 nucleotides) under uncultured bacterium. RNAcentral describes it as "bacterial SSU rRNA". It matches the Rfam family "Bacterial small subunit ribosomal RNA", at positions 28 to 534 of the family's 1533-position model. The record is from RNAcentral.